GAUAAACGCUGGCGGCGUGCAUUAUGCAUGCAAGUCGAACGGUGCCGCAAGGCACAGUGGCAAACGGGUGAGUAACACAUAAGUAACCUGUCCUCGAGUGGGGAAUAAUUCGCCGAAAGGCGGACUAAUACCGCAUAUGAUGGAUUUUCAUAAGAAAGGUCAUUAAAGCCGCAAGGCGCUUGAGGAGGGGCUUGUGUCCGAUUAGCUAGUUGGUGGGGUAAUGGCCUACCAAGGCUGUGAUCGGUAGCUGGUCUGAGAGGAUGGUCAGCCACACUGGGACUGAGACACGGCCCAGACUCCUACGGGAGGCAG
RNAcentral lists this ribosomal RNA (312 nucleotides) under uncultured Chloroflexota bacterium. Its description in RNAcentral is "bacterial SSU rRNA". It matches the Rfam family "Bacterial small subunit ribosomal RNA", at positions 28 to 351 of the family's 1533-position model. Lineage: Bacteria; Bacillati; Chloroflexota. The record is from RNAcentral.